AAGUCGUAACAAGGUUUCCGUAGGUGAACCUGCGGAAGGAUCAUUAAUGAAGUCUGGGCUUCGGCCCUCUCUCUUCUACACACUUGUGAACUUACACUGUUGCUUUGGCAGGUUUCCCGGAGGACGAAAGUCCCGAGGGUCAGGUCGAGAGACGCCUGCCAGGGACACUUAUCCACCCUUUUUGAAUAGUCUGAUUAUUGUUUUAAACAAAUUAAAAUAAA
RNAcentral lists this unclassified non-coding RNA (221 nucleotides) under plant metagenome. Its description in RNAcentral is "partial contains small subunit ribosomal RNA and internal transcribed spacer 1". The stretch from base 1 to 46 matches the Rfam family "Eukaryotic small subunit ribosomal RNA", at positions 1786 to 1831 of the family's 1831-position model. The record is from RNAcentral.